RNAcentral lists this ribosomal RNA (465 nucleotides) under uncultured bacterium. Its description in RNAcentral is "partial 16S ribosomal RNA". It matches the Rfam family "Bacterial small subunit ribosomal RNA", at positions 338 to 795 of the family's 1533-position model. The record is from RNAcentral.
CCUACGGGAGGCAGCAGUGGGGAAUAUUGCGCAAUGGGCGAAAGCCUGACGCAGCGACGCCGCGUGAGGGAUGAAGGUCUUCGGAUCGUAAACCUCUGUCAGCAGGGAAGAACGGUCACUGUGCUAAUCAGCAGUGAAUUGACGGUACCUGCAAAGGAAGCACCGGCUAACUCCGUGCCAGCAGCCGCGGUAAUACGGAGGGUGCGAGCGUUAAUCGGAAUUACUGGGCGUAAAGCGCUCGUAGGCGGUAUGUCAAGUCAAGGGUGAAAUCCCCGCGCUCAACGUGGGAACUGCCUUUGAAACUGGCAAACUGGAGUGUGGGAGAGGAGAGUGGAAUUCCAGGUGUAGGGGUGAAAUGCGUAGAUAUAUGGAGGAACACCAGUGGCGAAGGCGACUAUCUGGCACAUAACUGACGCUGAGGAGCGAAAGCGUGGGUAGCAAACAGGAUUAGAUACCCCGGUAGUC